CGCACAUUGCGCCCGCCAGUAUUCUGGCGGGCAUGCCUGUCUGAGCGUCAUUUCAACCCUCGCGACCGGUUUUCCGCAAGGGAGCCGGACGCGGUGUUGGGGAUCGGCCCCCCCUGAAAAAGGGAGCCGGCCUCUAAAUACAGUGGCAGCGCUAUAGUGGCCUCCCCUGCGUAGUAGCAAUAUCUCGCAGGCGGAUCUAGGUUCUUGGCCUCGCCGUACAACUUCGCCAGCUAACCCCCCCCGGUAGCAGGUGUGUUUUCUUAUGGUUGACCUCAGAUCAGGUAGGAAUACCCGCUGAACUUAA
Molecule: unclassified non-coding RNA, 304 nt
Filed under: Hydropisphaera aurantiaca
Lineage: Eukaryota; Fungi; Ascomycota; Sordariomycetes; Hypocreales; Bionectriaceae
Description: Heleococcum aurantiacum partial contains 5.8S ribosomal RNA, internal transcribed spacer 2, and large subunit ribosomal RNA
Source: RNAcentral